CCUGCCCACUGAUUAAUUGAAUGGCCGCAGUAUUUUGACUGUGCAAAGGUAGCAUAAUCAUUAGUUUUUUAAUUAGAAGCUUGUAUGAAGGGUUGGACGAGGUAAAAUCUGUCUCUAUUUAAUUUAUUUUAGAAUUUAAUUUUUAAGUUAAAAAGCUUAAAUUUUAGUAAAAGACGAGAAGACCCUAUAGAUCUUUAUAUUUUUUUAAUUAAUUUUAUUUAGGGUUAUUUUAUUUUUUAUUUAGGAAAAUAUUUUAUUGGGGUAAUAGAGAGAUUAAAUUAAUUCUUUUUUAUUAUAAUAUAGAUAAAUAAUUAUAUGAUCCAAUUAUUUUGAUUAUAAGAUUAAGUUACCUUAGGGAUAACAGCGUAAUUUUUUUAGAGAGUUCAUAUCGAUAAAAAAGUUUGCGACCUCGAUGUUGGAUUAAAAAUUAUUU
This 433-nucleotide ribosomal RNA is filed under the name Copelatus sp. MB 757. RNAcentral's name for it is "partial 16S ribosomal RNA". Lineage: Eukaryota; Metazoa; Arthropoda; Insecta; Coleoptera; Dytiscidae. The record is from RNAcentral.